This is a non-coding RNA of Chlorocebus sabaeus (green monkey), 1618 nucleotides long. Lineage: Eukaryota; Metazoa; Chordata; Mammalia; Primates; Cercopithecidae. The record is from RefSeq and is a predicted model, not a curated record.
GCCAGGCUGGUCUUGAACUCCUGGCCUCAAGUGAUCUGCUUGCCUCGGCCUCCCAAAGUGCUGGGAUUACAGGCGUGAGCCACCGCGUCCAGCCUUUGUUGUUUCUUUAAUGUCAGAAGAAAAACGUGCCUGGGUUCAGGACCGGAAGUGAAGAGGUGGCGUUUAAGCAUUUCAGCCCUGAAGCAGUGUUGUCGCCUGUCGGCCUGAGAGCACGCUGCCUGUAGAUGGCGCUGUGUCCUAACAUACUCGGGAUGCACCUGGAUCAGCCUCGGGGGCACACACUCAGCGAGGCUGUCAAGUGCAAGUGCCGAAACAGAUUAUGGUUCCGAGACUCACAACCCAAACUGUGAAAAGAUGGGCCAACAUCACAGACACCAUUCAGGGAGAGGACAUCAUUUUCAUAGGGAUAAUUGCGCAGUUUUAUGUGAAAUUCACACAUGUCGACACAGUACUUUAAUGGAGCGAUGGAAUUUCUUUCCUUAUUUUCCAUCCAUCCCUUUCCUGCAAAGACCGGACCAUCUCCACUGCAGCUCCGAACCUGUGUCUUGGCCACUGGGAGCAUCACGCCUGGCACUGCCCCCUGCCCAGGACUUCACAGCAACCCUCAUUGGGCAGGAGAUGCACAGUGAGACGAGGUCGCCUGCCUGGAUUACAGCCAUCUGAGAUUGUUCAUGCUGCUGUAACAAAAUACUUUAGACUGGGAAAUUUAUAAACAACCAAAAUGUAUUUCUCACAGUUUUGGAGGCUGUGAGUCCAAGUUCAAAGUGCCAGUAGUUUGGUGUCUGAGGGCCUGUUUCCCAUAGAGGGCACUUUAGUGUCUUGUGUGGUGGACGGGACUGACAAACUCCCUCAAACCUCCCUCACCAGGGCGCCGAGCCCAUUUAGCAGGGCAGAGCUCGGGCCCUAACCACCUGGUGUCCCUCACCAGGGCGCCGAACCCAUUCAGCAGGGCAGAGCUCUCGGGCCCUAACCACCUGGUGUCCCUCACCAGGGCGCCGAGCCCGCUCAGCAGGGCAGAGCUCUCGGGCCCUAACCACCUGGUGGAGGCCCCGCCUGCUAAUUCUAGCACCUUGGUGGUCAGGUUUCAGCAUAGGAAUUUUGGAGGUAUAAACAUUCACAGCCCCCAGGCUGACCACAGAGCACCGGCAUCCAGGCUGCCCUGUGCCCAGGUGCCACACAGUGGGUCUGGUGAGGAGGAGAGCAGCGCUCUGCUUAGGACCCGUCCUGUGAGGAUGAACCAGAGUGAAGUCUGUUCCCUGCAGCCCUCAGCUUCAGCUCACAGGGAAAGCUUCCGCUGAGGGCUGCCUUCUGUAUUUUUCAUUGUAAAAGGUGGCACACCUGGAGAGUCACUUGAUUUUCAACAAGGGUGCCAAGUUCCUCGGAGAAAGUAUCUUUUCACAAAAAAACUGACGCUUGACAGUGCACACCAUGUGCAGAAUUCAGCUUGACUGGAUCAUGUUCCUAAAUGUAAAAGCCUAAAAUUUAAAUUACAUAGAUUCUAAGCCUUAAAAAAUAUGAAUCCUGCACUAAUGCCACUGAAUUAUACACCUAAAAAUAGAAAAAAUGGAAAAUAUUAUGUUUUAUAUUUUGUAACACAAUAAACAAAAGUAGAAAUUUG